CCUACGGGGGGCUGCAGUGAGGAAUAUUGGUCAAUGGACGAGAGUCUGAACCAGCCAAGUAGCGUGAAGGAUGACUGCCCUAUGGGUUGUAAACUUCUUUUAUAUGGGAAUAAAAUGUUCCACGUGUGGGAUUUUGUAUGUACCAUAUGAAUAAGGAUCGGCUAACUUCGUGCCAGCAGCCGCGGUAAUACGGAGGAUCCGAGCGUUAUCCGGAUUUAUUGGGUUUAAAGGGAGCGUAGGUGGAUUGUUAAGUCAGUUGUGAAAGUUUGCGGGUCAACCGUAAAAUUGCAGUUUAAACUGGCAGUCUUGAGUACAGUAGAGGUGGGCGGCAUUCGUGGUGUAGCGGUGAAAUUCUUAG
This 358-nucleotide ribosomal RNA is filed under the name uncultured bacterium. RNAcentral describes it as "partial 16S ribosomal RNA". It matches the Rfam family "Bacterial small subunit ribosomal RNA", at positions 338 to 693 of the family's 1533-position model. The record is from RNAcentral.